CCCGAGUGUCAGGCGCGCCGAGUGCGCGGGGCUGCGCCGACGCCCCGCUCCGCAAAAUGAAAGCGAGGCGAAGCGAGGGCCCAGCCGGCGGGCGCGCGCGGGAGCCGUCCCGAGAAGGACGUCCCCGGGUUUGAGGGCUGGAAUGUUGGGGUCCUGGUGAAAGGGCUGAGACGGCCCGGAAAAGCAGACGGAAUUCGAACAGUCCUGGCAACGGGGCGGAGGCGGCCUGAGAGCAGAUUCAAGCGAGGAGAUGUCUUACACCGCUUGUCAAUGCUAAUAGCAAAACGAAAAUACGGAAAGAACUUCAGUGGCAGCAAAAUGUGCUGAAAGUGGAACCCAAGGCCUCAGGCAUGCUAAGCAAGUGCUGAACUGCAACCCCCAGCCAGCCGCCCUUGCAGUUUGUUAGUUAGAUGCAUAUCCUUAGAAUAACCGUUGCUGUUGGCCCAUGAGGUUCUGAAUUGCUUGUCCCACAGCCGGUCCCCUGGAAGUGGUGGCCCGCUCUUUCCAUCAUCGGUACAGAGAUGAGAAUUCACACAGGAAAUGAGACAUCAGGGGGUGGACUCCAAACAGGCCUGAGAGGACAUUAUUUUUCUAUCCCUGGCUCUGGGAUCUGAACUUUGAACUGCUUGUAAUACUUCAAGUAGAAGAGAAAAAAAACGACUCCUGUCAUGUGAUAAAGGGCUUGGAAUGUUCUCUCAGAGCCCCAGCACUUGAAGAAGGCAGGCGGAGAAGCACUGCGCCCCUUCAGUCAGCGGCUCCAGCUGAAUGCCCAGCCAACAGCCAGCACCGACUACCUCCCAAGGGAGUGAGCCCACCUCAGCCUAGCUGAGCCUGCAGGAGACCCCAGCCCCAGGCAGCUCCGCGGGGUACAGAACAGCACAGGAGUCCAGUGACCCGCACAGAAAUCCCGAGAGAUAACAUACUUCUCAGCCGAGCGUGGUGGCCCACACCUGAAAUCCCAGCAUUCCGGAGGCUGAGGCAGGAGGGUCCUGAAUGUGAAGACAUCUGGGGCUACACUGUGAGAUGCCUUCUCCAUAAAACUAAAUAAAUACUUCUAAGCAACUGAA
This is a long non-coding RNA of Chinchilla lanigera (long-tailed chinchilla), 1067 nucleotides long. RefSeq lists it as uncharacterized. The transcript is spliced from 2 exons. The record is from RefSeq and is a predicted model, not a curated record. Lineage: Eukaryota; Metazoa; Chordata; Mammalia; Rodentia; Chinchillidae.